GUGGCUGUAGCUCAGUUGGCAGAGCAUCAGGUUGUGGCCCUGAGGGCCGUGGGUUCAAGUCCCAUCAGCCACCCCA
This 76-nucleotide transfer RNA is filed under the name Fundidesulfovibrio putealis. RNAcentral's name for it is "tRNA-His". It matches the Rfam family "tRNA". From Rfam's summary of the family: Transfer RNA (tRNA) molecules are approximately 80 nucleotides in length. Their secondary structure includes four short double-helical elements and three loops (D, anti-codon, and T loops). Further hydrogen bonds mediate the characteristic L-shaped molecular structure. tRNAs have two regions of fundamental functional importance: the anti-codon, which is responsible for specific mRNA codon recognition, and the 3' end, to which the tRNAs corresponding amino acid is attached (by aminoacyl-tRNA synthetases). tRNAs cope with the degeneracy of the genetic code in two manners: having more than one tRNA (with a specific anti-codon) for a particular amino acid; and 'wobble' base-pairing, i.e. permitting non-standard base-pairing at the 3rd anti-codon position. The record is from RNAcentral. RNAcentral also lists the same sequence under 1 other name. Lineage: Bacteria; Pseudomonadati; Thermodesulfobacteriota; Desulfovibrionia; Desulfovibrionales; Desulfovibrionaceae.